AAAUUGAAGAGUUUGAUCAUGGCUCAGAUUGAACGCUGGCGGCAGGCCUAACACAUGCAAGUCGAACGGUAACAGGAAACAGCUUG
This 86-nucleotide ribosomal RNA is filed under the name Escherichia coli. Its description in RNAcentral is "partial 16S ribosomal RNA". It matches the Rfam family "Bacterial small subunit ribosomal RNA", at positions 1 to 87 of the family's 1533-position model. RNAcentral also lists the same sequence under 2 other names. The record is from RNAcentral. Lineage: Bacteria; Pseudomonadati; Pseudomonadota; Gammaproteobacteria; Enterobacterales; Enterobacteriaceae.